ACGGGAGGCAGCAGUGGGGAGUAUUGCACAAUGGGCGAAAGCCUGAUGCAGCAACGCCGCGUGAGUGAAGAAGUAUUUCGGUAUGUAAAGCUCUAUCGAUGGGGAAUAAGAUGAAGGUACCCAAGUAAGAAGCCCUGGCUAACUACGUGCCAGCAGCCGCGGUAAUACGUAGGGGGCAAGCGUUAUCCGGAUUUACUGGGUGUAAAGGGAGCGUAGACGGCAAAGCAAGUCUGAAGUGAAAUCCCGGGGCUCAACCCUGGAACUGCUUUGGAAACUGUUUAGCUAGAGUGCAGGAGAGGUAAGUGGAAUUCCUAGUGUAGCGGUGAAAUGCGUAGAUAUUAGGAGGAACACCAGUGGCGAAGGCGGCUUACUGGACUGUAACUGACGUUGAGGCUCGAAAGCGUGGGGAGCAAACAGGAUUAGAUACCCUGGUA
Molecule: ribosomal RNA, 434 nt
Filed under: uncultured Clostridium sp.
Lineage: Bacteria; Bacillati; Bacillota; Clostridia; Eubacteriales; Clostridiaceae
Description: partial 16S ribosomal RNA
Rfam family: Bacterial small subunit ribosomal RNA
Source: RNAcentral